RNAcentral lists this ribosomal RNA (589 nucleotides) under Aspergillus sp. RNAcentral's name for it is "eukaryotic LSU rRNA". The stretch from base 208 to 361 matches the Rfam family "5.8S ribosomal RNA". The record is from RNAcentral. Lineage: Eukaryota; Fungi; Ascomycota; Eurotiomycetes; Eurotiales; Aspergillaceae.
AGGUGAACCUGCGGAAGGAUCAUUACCGAGUGUAGGGUUCCUAGCGAGCCCAACCUCCCACCCGUGUUUACUGUACCUUAGUUGCUUCGGCGGGCCCGCCAUUCAUGGCCGCCGGGGGCUCUCAGCCCCGGGCCCGCGCCCGCCGGAGACACCACGAACUCUGUCUGAUCUAGUGAAGUCUGAGUUGAUUGUAUCGCAAUCAGUUAAAACUUUCAACAAUGGAUCUCUUGGUUCCGGCAUCGAUGAAGAACGCAGCGAAAUGCGAUAACUAGUGUGAAUUGCAGAAUUCCGUGAAUCAUCGAGUCUUUGAACGCACAUUGCGCCCCCUGGUAUUCCGGGGGGCAUGCCUGUCCGAGCGUCAUUGCUGCCCAUCAAGCACGGCUUGUGUGUUGGGUCGUCGUCCCCUCUCCGGGGGGGACGGGCCCCAAAGGCAGCGGCGGCACCGCGUCCGAUCCUCGAGCGUAUGGGGCUUUGUCACCCGCUCUGUAGGCCCGGCCGGCGCUUGCCGAACGCAAAUCAAUCUUUUCCAGGUUGACCUCGGAUCAGGUAGGGAUACCCGCUGAACUUAAGCAUAUCAAUAAGCGGAGGA